AUCUAGUCUUAACGAGCUUUGAUG
Molecule: non-coding RNA, 24 nt
Filed under: Arabidopsis thaliana (thale cress)
Lineage: Eukaryota; Viridiplantae; Streptophyta; Magnoliopsida; Brassicales; Brassicaceae
Source: RNAcentral